RNAcentral lists this long non-coding RNA (617 nucleotides) under Monodelphis domestica (gray short-tailed opossum). RNAcentral's name for it is "lncRNA (ENSMODG00000038946.1)". The record is from RNAcentral. Lineage: Eukaryota; Metazoa; Chordata; Mammalia; Didelphimorphia; Didelphidae.
GGGUAUUUAAGGUAAAGAGAAAAUCUGGAACCAUGACUCCAAGAAAUAAGGUUAAGGAGAGACUGAAUUCUCAAUUCUCCUCCCUCCACCUACUUCUGGCUUCCUUCUAUUUGAUUCUAAAGCUAUUCAGAGAUGAUUUCUGUUUCCUCACAAAAACAUGGCCUCCAAACAUCUAUGAAACAGGAGAUAUGUGCAUUUCAAUCCUUCAUUCUCCAGUAAUGAUCCUCAGAAUGAAGAGCUUCUCUCUGAGUGAUGGAACCCUACCCAGAAGAUCCUGGAAGCAGUCCUGAGGCAUACUUUCAAAGAGAGGAAGAGAAUUAGCAAUACUAAUGCUUUUGGCCAUAGGACAGCAGGGAACACUAGUAAUAGUUCAAAGACUUCAAAGAGUACUUAUGGUUACUCCUGAACCAGAACGCAGACCUGGCAAGUAUUAAAUAUAUCUCUACUUAUGUCAUAUCACCUUGGAAGAACCGAAAGAUAGAUUCUUAGACCCAGAGCUGACAGAAGCUACAUAAAGAACUUGAAGCUUGGAACAGUACUCCCUUCACCUCAGUUACAGACUCCAACUUUAUCAAUCUUUAAAAAUAAAUUAAAAGAAAAAGACUGGAAAUUGAGCA